RNAcentral lists this transfer RNA (63 nucleotides) under Chimarra sadayu. RNAcentral describes it as "tRNA-Tyr". It matches the Rfam family "tRNA". From Rfam's summary of the family: Transfer RNA (tRNA) molecules are approximately 80 nucleotides in length. Lineage: Eukaryota; Metazoa; Arthropoda; Insecta; Trichoptera; Philopotamidae. The record is from RNAcentral.
AGUAAAAUGACUGAUAAAAGUGAUAAAUUGUAAAUUUAUAGAUGAAUUUAAAUUCUUUUACUA